RNAcentral lists this ribosomal RNA (468 nucleotides) under uncultured bacterium. Its description in RNAcentral is "partial 16S ribosomal RNA". It matches the Rfam family "Bacterial small subunit ribosomal RNA", at positions 28 to 507 of the family's 1533-position model. The record is from RNAcentral.
GACGAACGCUGGCGGCGUGCUUAACACAUGCAAGUCGAACGGAAAGGCCCUGCUUUUGUGGGGUGCUCGAGUGGCGAACGGGUGAGUAACACGUGAGUAACCUGCCCUUGACUUUGGGAUAACUUCAGGAAACUGGGGCUAAUACCGGAUAGGAGCUCCUGCUGCAUGGUGGGGGUUGGAAAGUUUCGGCGGUUGGGGAUGGACUCGCGGCUUAUGAGCUUGUUGGUGGGGUAGUGGCUUACCAAGGCUUUGACGGGUAGCCGGCCUGAGAGGGUGACCGGCGACAUUGGGACUGAGAUACGGCGCAGACUCCUACGGGAGGCAGCAGUGGGGAAUAUUGCACAAUGGGCGGAAGCCUGAUGCAGCAACGCCGCGUGCGGGAUGACGGCCUUCGGGUUGUAAACCGCUUUCGCCUGUGACGAAGCGUGAGUGACGGUAAUGGGUAAAGAAGCACCGGCUAACUACGUG